Hyaena hyaena (striped hyena) is the source of this 507-nucleotide long non-coding RNA. RefSeq lists it as uncharacterized. Lineage: Eukaryota; Metazoa; Chordata; Mammalia; Carnivora; Hyaenidae. The transcript has 2 exons. The record is from RefSeq and is a predicted model, not a curated record.
GCCCUUUUCUUCGCGGCCACACCAAUAGGAGGCGGGAUGCCGGGACUACACCCCACCCUUGAAGCAUGGAGGCCCUGUCAUGUGCCGGGGGUCCAGGAGGAAUUGUGACAAAGUCACUGCCCUCAUCAAAGUGCAGCCUUCCCUAACCUGGCGUCUUGCUCGUUCUCUGCUGUCUGGCAAGAGGGGACACGGGGGACACGGUGGCCAAAGAUGCCAGCCUGACGAAGAUGCCUUUCAACAGAGAGUGAGACCAUGGAGGGGACUUUGAAUCUAGAGCGAUCAAACUCCUGAGGAAGAUGAGCGUGUGGGGCCGCUGUUGGAGUGGACCUGGCCUUUCCCUCUGCGGACUGCCUGCUUGUUCUUUUUAUGAAGCUAGCAUUUAUGGAGUGUGCUCAGCACUUUAUAUGGUUUAUGUAAUUAAUCUUGACAAUCUCCUUGAUUUGCAGACAAGGAAAAACUGAGGCACAGCAGUUAAUUUGGCCGAUAUAAUAAAAUUAGUAAAUGGCA